RNAcentral lists this ribosomal RNA (374 nucleotides) under uncultured organism. RNAcentral describes it as "partial 16S ribosomal RNA". It matches the Rfam family "Bacterial small subunit ribosomal RNA", at positions 527 to 896 of the family's 1533-position model. The record is from RNAcentral.
GUAGGUGGCAAGCGUUGUCCGGAAUUAUUGGGGCGUAAAGCGCGCGCAGGCGGUUCUUUAAGUCUGAUGUGAAAGCCCACGGGCUCAACCGUGGAGGGUCAUUGGAAACUGGAGAACUUGAGUACAGAAGAGGAAAGCGGAAUUCCACGUGUAGCGGUGAAAUGCGUAGAGAUGUGGAGGAACACCAGUGGCGAAGGCGGCUUUCUGGUCUGUAACUGACGCUGAGGCGCGAAAGCGUGGGGAGCAAACAGGAUUGGAUACCCUGGUAGUCCACGCCGUAAACGAUGAGUGCUAAGUGUUAGGGGGUUUCCGCCCCUUAGUGCUGCAGCUAACGCAUUAAGCACUCCGCCUGGGGAGUACGGCCGCAAAGGCUG